RNAcentral lists this long non-coding RNA (1089 nucleotides) under Camelus dromedarius (Arabian camel). Its description in RNAcentral is "lncRNA (ENSCDRG00005009540.1)". Lineage: Eukaryota; Metazoa; Chordata; Mammalia; Artiodactyla; Camelidae. The record is from RNAcentral.
AUGGUGUAAAUACUUCCACCGAGUUCAAUUUCAAGUCCCCAGUUGGCUUAACAACUGGCUCAAAAAAUUCUCAAAAUAUUUAGCAACAGCUCUUGCUCAUGGCCCAUUAGAUCACUGUCCCCAUUAGUGAGGCCAGCAACAGUACAAGCUCCAGGACCCAGCUGUACACCUCCUGAGCCCACCGCGCCCACGUCCUGGCCUUUAUUUGCAAAGUGCCCUUACAUGCACUGGGCAGCUUGGGCUCCAGGCACGCCAUUUAGCCAUUUGAGUUUCUUGUGUUUCAGAGUCCUGGAGUACAGUAGCCGGUCUGCCCUGCAGGUUGUCAUGACGCUCACUGAAGUGAUGGAUGUGAAAUGACUUUUGCCAAAAUGAACGCCAGACCUAAUCAAGAGAAUCAUACGGUGUUCUACACUUGGUUCAGAACAUACUGGAAAUACCCACCCGUGCAUCACGCCAAGCAGGAGUGCAGGAAAUGUAAGCUGCUUUCCUUUAACCCCCUCGAAGGGGUCACUUGAGGUUGAGGGCAAAGGGGCUUCCCCAGCCUAGAAGCUGAUGGGCCUCUGGCUCCUGCUUCCCCCUUCCUCCUCCAGCUAAUGACAAACACCUGGAUGUCUUAACGUCCUCCGUGAUGUCUUAACGUCCUCCGUGUCCUCAUCUGUUAUUCUGGGACACAGCCUGGGGAGGCUACCUGAGUAAGACCCCCCUGACUGAGGCUGGCCUCUUCUUGCCACGUGGCUGGCCCAGUGCCAUCCCACUUGAUGGAUGCAGAAGGGUGAGGCACUGAUCCUGCUCGUUGGACAGGAUGCUGGCAGGAGGGUGGGAGGAGCAGGGGCGGAGCUUCCAGAACAAAGGUGAACAGGGAGCCCUGGGGGCCCAGAUAGGCAUCAAAAAGGCUCUGCAGAGGGAGCAGGCCGCAGCAGCUGCCCGCCUCUGCGCCCAGCAGUAGGUCAUACAACCCUCGCCUGGUCCCUCCUGCCUGCCCUGGACGGGCGCCGAGGAACACUUCGCGUAGAGAGGCCCUGUUCUCCAGCGUGAUUGCGCCCACACUGCUCUGUGGCUUUCUCUACCUGGUGUGGGUUGCUACUGCAG